This 125-nucleotide ribosomal RNA is filed under the name Erinaceus europaeus (western European hedgehog). The record is from RNAcentral. Lineage: Eukaryota; Metazoa; Chordata; Mammalia; Eulipotyphla; Erinaceidae.
UGAGGCAGCCAUAACACUCUAAACAUGCCUGAUCUCAUCUGUUCUCAGAAGCUAAGCAUCGCAGGGUCUGGUUAGUACUUGGAUGGGAGAUAACUCUAAUUUUAUUGAUAAAAAAACAGUCAUGU